This 866-nucleotide ribosomal RNA is filed under the name uncultured delta proteobacterium. RNAcentral describes it as "bacterial SSU rRNA". It matches the Rfam family "Bacterial small subunit ribosomal RNA", at positions 61 to 918 of the family's 1533-position model. The record is from RNAcentral. Lineage: Bacteria; Deltaproteobacteria.
GUCGUGGGAGAAGUCGGGGCAACCCGGCGAGUAAACCGGCGCACGGGUGAGUAACACGUGGAUAACCUGCCCUGGAGACUGGGAUAACCCGUCGAAAGACGGACUAAUACCAGAUAAGACCACGGACAGUUCGCUGUCCGGGGUAAAAGGUGGCCUCUGCUCCUGCAAGCUAUCACUCCGGGAGGGGUCCGCGGCCUAUCAGCUAGUUGGCGGGGUAACGGCCCACCAAGGCAAAGACGGGUAGCUGGUCUGAGAGGAUGGUCAGCCACACUGGGACUGAGACACGGCUCACAGUCCUACGGGAUGCAGCAGUCAGGAAUAUUGCGCAAUGGAGGAAACUCUGACGCAGCGACGCCGCGUGGGUGAUGAAGGCCUUCGGGUCGUAAAGCCCUGUCGGAGGGAAAGAAAAGCUUGCCGGCUAAUAUCCGGCGAGCCCUUGACGGUACCCUCAAAGGAAGCACCGGCUAACUCCGUGCCAGCAGCCGCGGUAGACGGAGGGUGCGAGCGUUGUUCGGAUUGACUGGGCGUAAAGGGCGUGUAGGCGGUCGGCCAAGUCUGAUGUGAAAGCCCGGGGCUCAGCUCGGAGGUGCGUCGGAAACUAGUCGGCUGGAGCGCGAUACAGGAGGGUGGAAUUCCUGGUGUAACGGUGAAAUGCGUAGAUAUCAGGAGGAACACCGGCGCGAAGCGGCCCUCUGGAUCGUUGCUGACGCUGAGACGCGAAACGUGGGAGCAAACAGGAUUAGAUACCCUGGUAGUCCACGCUGUAAACGAUGGGUACUAGUGUUCGGGGUAUUGACCCCUGAGUGCGCAGCUACGCAUUAGUACCCGCUGGGAUACGGCGCAGGUAAACUCAAGGAUUGACGGGG